Molecule: long non-coding RNA, 814 nt
Filed under: Homo sapiens (human)
Lineage: Eukaryota; Metazoa; Chordata; Mammalia; Primates; Hominidae
Description: novel transcript, antisense to OR13C3
Source: RNAcentral
GGGAGACACCUCCCAGGAGGGGCUGACAGACACCUCAUACCGGAGAGCUCUGGCUAGUAUCUGGCAGGUGCCCCUCUGAGACAAAGCUUCCAGAGGAAAGAACAGGCAGCAAUCUUUGCUGUUCUGCAGCCUCCGCUGGUGAUACCCAGGCAAACAGGGUCUGGGGUGGACCUUCAGCAAACUCCAGCAGACCUGCAGCAGAGGGGCUUGACUGUUGGAAGGAAAACUAACAAACAGAAAGGAAUAGCACAUCCACUCAGAGACCCCAUCCGAAGGUCACCAACAUCAAAGACCAAAGGUCUUGAGACUUCGGUUUCGCAUACAUAAAGAAGAUGGUACCGUAAAAUAUGAUCACCACAGUCAGGAAAUCAAAAGAAGAUCUAACAUGAAAUGUAUUUACUGCCAAGAAACAAACAGUACAAAUUAACUGAACAAUCAUUCUUUUGACACAUAUUAGAAGGAGUGCUUGCUUGAAGUUCUGACAUCCAGUUAUCUUCAGUAAUGUGUGUGACUAGAAUACAAUGAAAUUGGGAAUGAUGGAAGCACCUAUACCGCAUCGCCAAUAUGUGAAGAUCUACCCACGAUCAGACACACAUGCAGACGGAACCUUUCCUGCUGUUGAGGACAUGUUCCUGAGUUGAGGACACUCUCCCGAGCUGAGGUUUCUAAAACCCCUGGCCAAUCAACAACUCUAAGCUUAACAUCUUCAUUUCAUCAACCCCAGCAAACAAGCAGUAAAGGGGGCAAAAGACUACUCAACAAAGACUGGAAUUUUAAUUCAGCAAUUUAUAAAGUGUUUAAAAUUUCACAGCAA